AACGGUCUAUACCUGCGGUACCUGCGGAGGGAUCAUUGAAGAACGCCGCGCCUGCGAGCGUGUAGGCAACCAACCUAUUUGUGCCAACUGUACAUGUGCAGAGUGGGGUGGGGGAAGCUGGUGUGCUUCUCCAAUAAAAUAUGGUGGACCAUUGACUGAGUAUGAUGACGAUGAAUAGUAGUAGUGGUAGUGGCAACAGCAGCGGUGUGGUAGUAACGCGCGGCUGCAGUUGUUAUUAGU
Molecule: unclassified non-coding RNA, 240 nt
Filed under: soil metagenome
Description: partial contains 5.8S ribosomal RNA, internal transcribed spacer 2, and large subunit ribosomal RNA
Source: RNAcentral